RNAcentral lists this long non-coding RNA (545 nucleotides) under Ailuropoda melanoleuca (giant panda). Its description in RNAcentral is "lncRNA (ENSAMEG00000027464.1)". Lineage: Eukaryota; Metazoa; Chordata; Mammalia; Carnivora; Ursidae. The record is from RNAcentral.
AAGUGCAAUUGGCAAGCAAAAGGAAAUGCUGGACGAGGAGAGGAUGAUGAGGCACCUAAUUGUGGGCUUGGGAAGUGACUUGUCGACCCUGCCCUGAGAGCCUGCUCGAGAAGGUUGGCAAACGCUCCUCGUCCUGCUGUGAAUCCCUCAGGCUUGUGAGGGACGACAGAUGGUUGAGCUAAACUCGGAGCCACCCCUCUACAUAAUGAAGAAAAAUGACCAGCCUCCUGGUGCUUGCUACUGUGCUGUGGGAACAGAAACAGACACUAAUCUACUCUUUGGCACAGGAUCUUGGCGUCGAUCUAUCUAUCUGCAGAGGAUUGGAUUGAGGAUGUUUCAUUAUCAGCAAGGGACUCAGGGUUUGAAGUAUGGAUCCUGUUAGAGCAGCAUGUUUAGGACCAAGAUCAACUACCUUGCUAAGAGGCCACGGGAAGAACCUCUCAAUUUUCUUAAUGGUCUCGAAGUGGAAUCUACCAUGGUCUGUGUCUAGACAAGCACCAUUUAAAAUAAAGAAUCUUCAGUGUUUAUUGUUCUUCUUGCGCUCU